Molecule: non-coding RNA, 21 nt
Filed under: Caenorhabditis elegans
Lineage: Eukaryota; Metazoa; Nematoda; Chromadorea; Rhabditida; Rhabditidae
Source: RNAcentral
UAAUAUUUUUGAAUAUUAGAC